This 478-nucleotide transfer-messenger RNA is filed under the name Chondromyces crocatus. RNAcentral describes it as "tmRNA* (permuted)". The stretch from base 1 to 94 matches the Rfam family "transfer-messenger RNA", at positions 291 to 374 of the family's 374-position model. Lineage: Bacteria; Pseudomonadati; Myxococcota; Polyangiales; Polyangiaceae. The record is from RNAcentral.
GAACGCGGUCGUCGGCGUAUAGACGACUACGCACGUGAAUGAAGGUGUUCUGGAUGCCUUGCGGACCCGGGUUCGAUUCCCGGCGCCUCCACCUGUUUUGCUCGUGGUUUUUUAUCUUUUGUGCCCUGAUUGUGACCCGAUAAAUUUCGUGGGGGCAUAACUCACCGUUCUGGCGGUGAGUUACGACGCCAGCACGCGGGGACUCUCAAGGUCGCUUGGUUGUCGGGCACGUGUGUCCGUCGCCACGCACCCAGGCCGGCGGGUGCGGCUGGGUUCGUAGGGUCGUGACGACACCCGAGGUCCCCUUGCCGGAAUUUCUUUAAGGGGUGUGCCAGGGAUAUAGCGGCCCAGUCUGCUAGGCCGAUACGAAUACCUUGCCGCCCGUAGACGGGGCGGGGUGCUGGCUCCCUUCCGGAAUGGACAAGGCUCUCGUGCUCGCGCGCCGUGGAGUCUUUUGCGCUCUGCUUCAGCGCUCGGU